UACGUAGGUGGCGAGCGUUGUCCGGAUUUACUGGGCGUAAAGAGCGCGCAGGCGGUCGUACAAGUCGCGUGUGAAAGCCCCUGGCUCAACUGGGGAGGGUCACGCGAUACUGUUCGACUCGAAGGCAGGAGAGGGAAGUGGAAUUCCCGGUGUAGUGGUGAAAUGCGUAGAUAUCGGGAGGAACACCGGUGGCGAAGGCGGCAUCCUGGACCAAUAUUGACGCUGAGGAGCGAAAGCCAGGGGAGCAAACGGG
Molecule: ribosomal RNA, 253 nt
Filed under: uncultured bacterium
Lineage: Bacteria
Description: partial 16S ribosomal RNA
Rfam family: Bacterial small subunit ribosomal RNA
Source: RNAcentral